GAGAGCUUGCUCUCAAGAAGUUAGCGGCGGACGGGUGAGUAACACGUGGGUAACCUGCCCAUAAGACUGGGAUAACUCCGGGAAACCGGGGCUAAUACCGGAUAACAUUUUGAACCGCAUGGUUCGAAAUUGAAAGGCGGCUUCGGCUGUCACUUAUGGAUGGACCCGCGUCGCAUUAGCUAGUUGGUGAGGUAACGGCUCACCAAGGCAACGAUGCGUAGCCGACCUGAGAGGGUGAUCGGCCACACUGGGACUGAGACACGGCCCAGACUCCUACGGGAGGCAGCAGUAGGGAAUCUUCCGCAAUGGACGAAAGUCUGACGGAGCAACGCCGCGUGAGUGAUGAAGGCUUUCGGGUCGUAAAACUCUGUUGUUAGGGAAGAACAAGUGCUAGUUGAAUAAGCUGGCACCUUGACGGUACCUAACCAGAAAGCCACGGCUAACUACGUGCCAGCAGCCGCGGUAAUACGUAGGUGGCAAGCGUUAUCCGGAAUUAUUGGGCGUAAAGCGCGCGCAGGUGGUUUCUUAAGUCUGAUGUGAAAGCCCACGGCUCAACCGUGGAGGGUCAUUGGAAACUGGGAGACUUGAGUGCAGAAGAGGAAAGUGGAAUUCCAUGUGUAGCGGUGAAAUGCGUAGAGAUAUGGAGGAAC
Molecule: ribosomal RNA, 650 nt
Filed under: uncultured bacterium
Lineage: Bacteria
Description: bacterial SSU rRNA
Rfam family: Bacterial small subunit ribosomal RNA
Source: RNAcentral